AGUAACACGUAGGGAACCUGCCCAUGCGGCCGGGACAACUUCCGGAAACGGAUGCUGAUACCGGAUAAGGAAAGCGAAGGCAUCUUUGCUUUGUUAAAGGAGCUGCAAGGCUCCGCGCAUGGAUGGACCUGCGGUGCAUUAGCUGGUUGGUGAGGUAAAGGCUCACCAAGGCGACGAUGCAUAGCCGGCCUGAGAGGGUGAACGGCCACAUUGGGACUGAGACACGGCCCAAACUCCUACGGAAGGCAGCAG
Molecule: ribosomal RNA, 252 nt
Filed under: uncultured bacterium
Lineage: Bacteria
Description: partial 16S ribosomal RNA
Rfam family: Bacterial small subunit ribosomal RNA
Source: RNAcentral